CCUACGGGUGGCAGCAGUGAGGAAUAUUGGUCAAUGGACGAGAGUCUGAACCAGCCAAGUAGCGUGAAGGAUGACUGCCCUAUGGGUUGUAAACUUCUUUUAUAUGGGAAUAAAAUGUUCCACGUGUGGGAUUUUGUAUGUACCAUAUGAAUAAGGAUCGGCUAACUCCGUGCCAGCAGCCGCGGUAAUACGGAGGAUCCGAGCGUUAUCCGGAUUUAUUGGGUUUAAAGGGAGCGUAGGUGGAUUGUUAAGUCAGUUGUGAAAGUUUGCGGCUCAACCGUAAAAGUGCAGUUGAAACUGGCAGUCUUGAGUACAGUAGAGGUGGGCGGAAUUCGUGGUGUAGCGGUGAAAUGCUUAGAUAUCGCGAAGAACUCCGAUUGCGAAGGCAGUUCACUGGCGUGCAACUGACACUGAGGCUCGAAAGUGUGGGUAUCAAACAGGAUUAGAUACCCGUGUAGUC
This 460-nucleotide ribosomal RNA is filed under the name uncultured bacterium. Its description in RNAcentral is "partial 16S ribosomal RNA". It matches the Rfam family "Bacterial small subunit ribosomal RNA", at positions 338 to 795 of the family's 1533-position model. The record is from RNAcentral.